AUGCUCUCAAAGUUUGAGCUGGGGUUCAGGUCGAGCAGGUCGUCUUCGAACUCGUCGUCGGACGACGAAGAGCCCGAGGAGGAGGAAGAGGACGAGGAGAGCGAGGAGGACGCGUGCGAGGGCGCGCUGGACGGGGCGGGCGAGGCUGCGCGUAGGCUGGCGUAGCCGCGGUGGUCAGCGGGCGAUCGGCUGGCGGCUGGCGAUGAUGCUGCGCUGCUGCGGCCGCUCAGACUCCGGCCAUCGGGCGAGCAUCCCGGGCCUCCAUCUUCGUACAACCCCAGUGGAUCACUGGGGUCGGCGCUCGCUCCCAGGCCCCCGACGGGAGACGCCGAAGCGCCCAGGCUUCCAAACAGUGCAAAGCCAAAGCGACUCUGGCUCCGGGACUCUCUGUGGGCGGAAUCGGCGCUGAGGAGUUGGUGCAAUUAUUUUGUUGCAAGGUAGGAAGCCAAGAAGCUUGCAUGCAACAGACCGGCAUGAAUAAAUGUAUGUUUCUCCCUCCCUCCUGCAAGAAGGGGAGCUGGUUACCGGCAGAGUUCCCCCACUGCAGACUCUCUAAGAAACAGCGUGCAAGAACUGGAAACCGGGAGGGAGACGGCCCUCUUCCCCUCACUCUGUUUCUCUGGCUGCAGCUUAGAGC
This 637-nucleotide small RNA is filed under the name Mus musculus (house mouse). RNAcentral describes it as "Sox4ot2 non-coding RNA". Lineage: Eukaryota; Metazoa; Chordata; Mammalia; Rodentia; Muridae. The record is from RNAcentral.